GAUUGACCGGCGAGCGGGAAAGUAAAAUGGCCGACAAUGGCGCAAAUUUCUAGUGAUAUUGGAAGGUGGACCUGCUUUCUUUGCCAUACAAAAGCACCACAACAUAGCAUUGAAAGUCUAACUGCACAAGAGAGUUCCAACUGCACAAGGAUCUUUGUGGAUGGUCAAUAUAGAAUCUACAUUAGAUGUUCAGAGUGCAGGCUAGUAUUUCACGCAGACUGUGCUCAUUGUGAUCUUGAAGAUAUAAUAACAGGGGACGACCCGUGCAUUUGUGAUGUUUGCGCAAACAAAUUAUUGAAGCUGUGAACUCACUAAUUGGCGUUUUAAAAGACACCCUAAAAAAAAAUUGUGGUGGCGCAAUCACUUCUUGUUUUAAGUUUAAUCAGCCUAAUGACAUAGGACUUUAAAUGUUCUCAUGUUAUGUUUAACAUAUUGUUCAACAGUUAAUGUUAUCACAUACCUAAUUGAAGAAAGAUAUUUGACUUGUGAUAUGACAUAUUAGCCAUGUGAAAUGACAUCUUAGACAUGUGUUAUGACAUUUUAGCCAUGUGUUAUGACAUCUUAGUCAUGUCAUAAUACAUGUCUAAUAUGUAAUAUCACAUGUCUAAGAUGUCAUAUCGCAUGACUAAGUUAUCAUAUCAUAUGACUAAGAUUUCAUAACACAUGACUAAGAUGUCAGGUCACAUGUCUAAGUUGUCAUAUAAUCAUAUGACUACGAUGUCAAAUCUUCUGUCUAAGAUGUCAUAACACAUGACUUAGUUGUCAUAUCACAUUUCUAAGUUAACAUAUCAUAUGACUUAAGAUGUCAUAUCACAUGUGUAAGUUGUCAUAACACAUGACUAAGUUGUCAUAUCACAUGUCUAAGUUAUCAUAUGGCUAAGAUGUCAUAUCACAUGUCUAGGAUGUCAUGACACAUGACUUAGUUGUCAUAUCACAUGUCUAAGUUAACAUAUCAUAUGUCUAAGAUGUCAUAUCACAUGUGUAAGUUGUCAUAACACAUGACUAAGUUGUCAUAUCACAUAUCUAAGUUAUCAUAUUUUAAUCCAUAAAAAACUCUUCUUAACUUACAUUUGCGCCAUUGUCGGCCAUUUUACUUUCCCGCUCGCCGGUAAAUCGAGAGCGGCGAAUUCGGCUUAUCAUAUGACUAAGAUGUCAUAUCACAUGUCACGUCAUAACACAUGACUAAGUUGUCAUAUUACAUGUAACGGUUAUCAUAUCAUAUGACUAAGAUGUCAUUUCACAUGACUAAGAUGUCAUAGCACGUCUAAGUAGUUAUAUCACAUGUCUAAGUUGUCAUAUCAUAUGACUAAGAUGACAUCUUAGUCAUAUGAAAUGAUAACUUAGUCAUGUGUAAUUACAGGGUUUUUUCUUUAUCUUUUAAUAUUUUUAUUUUAACUUAACAUUGUCUUCAAAUGUUUGAUUUUCUUACCUUUGUGAUUGUAUCAGGGAUAUGUGCAGCGGCAGUUGAAAGUAUAUUCAUCCACAGUUUGAAUAACCUGCCAUUGUAACUGUAGCAUUAGAGACUGUUUGGUUAGUAGGAAAUGAUUUCAUGGAACCAGAAAUUCUGAUAAGGAAGACUGCAGUUUAAAAGUAGUUUCUGUUACAGUUUAGAGGUUUGGGCUGUAUUAAUGCAAAGUGCCAUACGCAGUUGUAUUUUGUGCCCACAUGUUUCAAUUACUGUUUUUAUACUUCCACAAACGAAGUUUAGGGGGGUAUAUAGGAGUGAGCUUGUCUGUCGGUCGGUCGGUAUGGGUUGUCCGCUCUCUAAUUUAAGUAGUUUUCAUCCGAUCUUUCCCAAGUUUGGUCAGAAGUUUUAUCUAGAUGAUCUUAAGGCCAAGAUCGAACAUUGGUCUUGCUGGGUCAAAAACUAGGUCACGGGGUCACUUAGUGUGUUUUAAACAUCGAUAUGAUAUGAUAACUUAGUCAUGUGAUAUGACAUCUUAAACAUGGUGUCCGCUCUCUAACUGAAGUAGUUUACUUCCGAUCUUCACCAAACUUGGUCAGAAGUUUUAUAUAGAUGAUCUCUAUGCCAAGUUCGAACAUGAGCCAUGGGUCACUUACCGGUAGAAUGUUUUACACAUUAAGCAUGAUGUUCGCUGUCUUAUUCAAGUAGUUUUCAUCCGAUCUUCAACACAAUUGGUCAGAAGUUGUAUCAAGAUGAUGUGUAGGUCAAGUUCGAACAUGGGCCAUGCCAGGUCAAAAACUAGGUCACGUUACUUAGUGCGUUUUAAAUAUUGAUCAUGGUGUCUGCUAUGAUUUUGUGAAGACACAUGCAAAAUAUUCUGUGUCAAUGCCACCUGUGGGGGUUUUCGUCACGUCUGUGACAAAGCUCUAGUUCUUUUUAGCUCACCUGAUUGCUCAGGUGAGCUUUUGUGACCGGGCCUUGUCCGUCCGUUAACAUUUAUUCGUAAACACUCUAGAGGGCACAUUUCUUUGCCGAUCUUCAUGAAACUUGGUCAGUACAUUGGUUUUAUUGAUUUCUCUGACAAGUUGGAAAAUGGCUGAGAGCGGUGUAACACACUUUUUAGCUCACCUGAUUGCUCAGGUGAGGUUUUAGGAUUGGUUUUUGUCUGCCGUCCGUCCGUCAACAUUUGGUUUGUAAACACUCUAGCAUUCACACUUCUUAAGCAUUCUUUAUGAAAGUUGCUGAAAGAUAUAGGUCAAGUUUGAUAAUGAGCAAAAUCACAUAAUUAAUGCCAUAAUUAUUGCCCUUAGAUUGUGUCCAAAUUUUCAUUAUACUAUACAAAAUCAUUGUAAACACUCUAGAGGUCACAAUAUUUUGUUUCAGAUUUUAUGAAUCAUGGUAAAAAAAAUUCUUUUUUUUCUAAGCGAAGUUUAAUGUUUGGUAAGGGAGGGGGGUCAACUCAAAAUAUAGGUCACCAGGUCAAAUCUCACAAAAACACUCCAUAAGCCAGAGUUUUGAUUCAAUAAUGAUGAAACUUGACCAUGGUGUUUGUCUGGACAAUAUCAAGGUCAAGUUUGACGUUGGGUAAAGAUUGAAUGAGCCAACUCCUCUCAGGUGAGCGAACUAGGGCCAUCUUGGCUCUCUUGUUUAUUUUACUGUGAUAUAUGAGGUAUAUAUUGAUACAUGUGAUAUUUAUAUUUUUAUUUUACUGUGAUAUAUGAAGAACAUAUUGAUAUAUGAUUUUUAUUUUACUGUGAUAUAUGAGGAACAAAUUGAUAAGUUUUGUCAGACAGGUGUUUCAUACCUGCUGUCACAGGCAUGACAUAAUGAUAUACGCAUAAUACUCGUAAUAUGUUCAAUAUUUAGGAAAUAAACAAGUAAAACCAAA
This is a long non-coding RNA of Dreissena polymorpha, 3293 nucleotides long. RefSeq lists it as uncharacterized. The record is from RefSeq and is a predicted model, not a curated record. Lineage: Eukaryota; Metazoa; Mollusca; Bivalvia; Myida; Dreissenidae. The transcript has 3 exons.